Leopardus geoffroyi (Geoffroy's cat) is the source of this 958-nucleotide long non-coding RNA. RefSeq lists it as uncharacterized. NCBI's taxonomy places the organism in Eukaryota, Metazoa, Chordata, Mammalia, Carnivora, Felidae. The record is from RefSeq and is a predicted model, not a curated record. The transcript is spliced from 2 exons.
UGCAAGAAAAUUGUUAAACAACUUGAAGAACAGAUGUUAUCGUCUGAAAAGGAAGUAUUCGUUUUCAUAAAGUAAAUUUGUGCGUAUGUGUGGCCAGAGCUAAUUCUCAGCAGAUUUUGUUUCCUGCUUCUCCGGGAAAAUAUUUGUUUUCUCUGAGCGGAAUCAUUGCUCAUUCCUGGGGCGAUUCAAUUGUUCACUUGUAUUUCUUUGCUAGGGCUGCUAUAGCAGGGUAUCGCAGAGUGGGUGGUUUCAACAACAGAAAUUUAUUUUCUCACAAUUCUGAAGGCCAGACAUUCGAGAUCACCGGACAGUAGUCCCCCCUUGCCCACGGUUUCGCUUUCUGUGGUUUUGGUUACCGGAGACGAACCUCAGAAGCAGAUGACCCUCUACUGUCAGGUUCGUGGUCGCCCUAAACUACAAGGGUGCCUACAUCAUUCACCUCACCCCAUCUCACCAGCCAGAGGAGGCAUUUUAUCAUCUCACACCCUCACAAAAAGAAGAAAGUUACCAAAUUGGAGUUCCUGGGCCUCAUGUUCUCUGGUCUACUCGGCGGAUAGUUUCCUCAACUUCGGAUUCUUCGGUGAGAGAUGAAAGCUGAACUCACUGACAUCCAUAGACAGCUAUCUUUCUAAGUACUUUUUCAUAUUCCAAAUGUGUCUCGUCAGGAGCAACUUGCUUUGUGUCUACAAAGGUAUUAAGCAGAAAUGCAGUUCACACUUGAUAAUUGGUUUUCUCUUGGGCUGACCUUCAAUCUGCUACUUAGCAGAGUAUAUCCACACUUUCGACUGAAAGAUGACGUUAGGGACACAGUUCUGUUGGGGGUGGCUGUUAAGCUAAUAAUCCUUUCCAUUAAUCAACACACCAAAACUCUGUGGGCAGAGAUCACCCUUUGCAACUUUAACUCUUACAGUCGGUUGUGCUUUAUUGUGUAUUAUUCGGAGAGUAAUUGAUACUUUUU